ACUAUCACAAAGCAAAAAAGAUCCUAUACUCUCUAUCACCCCUUCCUAUUGUUUUAUUAUAUGUAUACAGUUAGGAGUCUGUUGUUCUCAUUAUGUUCAAGCUUCAAAAUACCAAAGCAAUUGAACUAAUAGAGGUGGAUUCGAACAUGGGAAAAGACUAGUUAUAUGAAUUGGAUAUGUUAGUGUCACAAUUGACUUUACUGGAGCUAAUUGAAAUCAAUUAUCAAACUACAAAAUACCAAGGCUUACUACUUCAGUCUUAAUUCAACCCAUAAUCCAUUCUAUGACUAUCAAUUCAACAAUACGUCCAUAUUCUUAUCCGUUCAUCUCCCACUUACUCUCUUUGUGGUUUAUAUAUAUUCAAUUAUUGAUCUAUAGCUUACCUAUUAUAUUCAGUUUUUCAAUUCAUUACACAGAAUUCAAUAUCUCGGCUUACGACUCUCUCAGUCUCGCACUCUAGACUAACUUCUCAAUAUUCAAAAACUAUCUAUUAUUCAUCAACAACAAAGAAACAAAAAGAGGUAGCACCAAGCUUGCCCCGGCUUACGACUAUUACAGUCUGGCUUCUCGGCUUAUGACUCUCAUAGUCUAGCUCCGAUCUCUCUUUUUUCAACUUCUUUAUCCUACCAAAAGAUGGAUCGUCGGCUAGCAGAUUCCAAAGGUUAUGACCUUUUGAAUUUUUAACCAUUUAUUCCACUAACAACCUACUGUUACCAACAAAACUACCUAACAAUCAAUCUAAUUUUCAAGGUUAUCAAUAACCAACCAGUAACUUACUACAAAGUUUAUUUAUCUAUUCUACAUAAUCCCACUCCUAAUUGUGCAGUGCCCUCGUAAACAUACAAUUGUUACCUAUCUAAAUACUACUUAACAAAAUUCUACAAAGGUACUAUUUUCUCUGGCCCACCCAAUUGAUCAUUUGCUGCAUUAUCGAAUGUGUGUUCCAUCGAAUCUCGUUCCAAUUGCAAAUCUUCUUCCUCCUCCUCCAAUCUGUCUAUUGACUCCUUCCUCAAUUGGUUUGAAAAAUCUUCAUUAUACUCUCCCAAUUCACGGACUUGAGCUUCCAGUUUCAAGAUCUAGACAUCCCAAAGUUUCAAUUGUUGUUGCUGUUGACUCAUCCAUUCUAGAACAUCUUCAAUCGACACUUAUGACCGGCUUCUCACUGUUAACUCAUAAUUGGAACUACAAUUCUCAAAAACACAAGAAAUAUAAGAAAAUGGCACUCUAGUCAAUGCAAAACAGUACCACAGAAUGACUUUAACUAGUGCUCCACUCCUAUUCUUUUACUACUUGGUGAUAAUGACAACAUGUUACCCAUACUGUCUGUGAAAGGUAAUGGGAAGUAAUCUUUCUUAGUGGCCGCAUUAAGUUUGUAGAAAUCUUGACAAAUUCGGAUUUUCUCAUUCUUUUUCAGCACCAUCACAAUUAGAGAAACCCACUCACUAUUCGAUACCAGGUAAAUAAAACCAACUGCAAGAAGCUUGUCCAAUUCCUCCUUCACUAUGAGAGAAUAUUUAAGAUUAAGGCAAUGUUGCUUAUGCCGUACCAGUUUAGCAUUCUUCUCUAAAAUAAUAUGAUGCUCACAGACUUCAGAGGGGAUACCUUUUAGAUCAACAUAAGUCUAAGCAAAAGCUGAUUUAUGAUGCAAGAAAAUUUUUGUCCAGUAGGUCAACUCCUAGUCCUUAAUACCUUCGUAGACCUUAAUGGUCUGAGGCUCUACUGUGGUUGCCAAGUUGAUAGUUUGACAUAAAGGUAGAGCGGCGAUGUUCGGUUUCAACUCCCGUGUUGGUUUAAAAUCAGUCGAUAAGUUCGACAUGUGUGAAGUACUAAAUCCUAUGUCUAGGGCACUCACAUGGUGAACAUCAUACUUGGUCAUCCAAUCAAUACUAACUUUAACAGAGAUUUUCGAAUCCGUCGGAUAUAUCAAGUACUCUCCCGGACUGCCACAUUGAUACACCACUCCAAAGUGUUGGUCUGCUUCUAUGAAUGCCUCCAUAAUCGAUGCUAUUGCAUCAUCAUCGAUACUAAGCUGAUCAUUCGAUGGCAAUUCAAUUGCUGACAAUUGAGAUUCCUUGUGAUAGUGUAUUGGAUACAUUUGUAACACCAUUUUAUCUCCACCCUUGCCGAUUGUCAAAGUACCCCGACCCCAAUCAUUCUUGGUGUUUGCUUGAUAAAGCCAGGGUCGUUCCAAUAAAAUUAGAUAUGAUAAAGUCGAACAUGUAAUCAAAAGACAAUGUAGUCAAUUUCAUAUACAAUAUCGACAAUUAUAGUUUAAACACUCCGUAAAAUACCCAUUGGUUUAACUCGAUUAUUAUCUGCCAUCUGUAAUACCAAUAUUGUGGGUACUAAGUGUUCCAAAUCUAAAGCAUCCAUUGUAUCAGCAUUCAUUAAAUGGACAUUGGAACCACCAUCCACCUGAACACCUGAGAUCAUAAUACCGUCAAUCAAAACAUCGAUGGUUGGUGCACUUGGAUUAGGGUUCAAAUUGACUUCACAAACUUUCUUAUUGCAUUGCCUAUGCCAUGUUAACGAUGAAUUCAAUGUAGAAUGGUACUCUGGUACGACCGCUAGAAGUUGCUUCAUAGAAAUAGAAGGCGGAAUAGCAUCCAGAUCCUUCAAAAUGUCAUAAGGUUCCAUAUGUAAGAUAAUAUCCAAUGUCCUCUUUCUUUUUAUUGGUUUGAAUUUAACUUUGUGAGGUAAGAUAUUCUUUCGUCCUAGACUCAAAAUUGGAACAGUAGAUGGAGCUUCUUUGAAAUUUACGCCCUCGAGAGGAUCUUUCAAUAGAUAGGACGUUUUUCGAAAUUGUGUAGAGAACGAAACAGCUUGACACGGAACCGAAGCCUCCAUAAUUGAUACUUCAUUAAGAUGCACAAUCGAUUCAGGUCUUAUACUGAGUAAGGAGCUCAUGUCAAGACCUAGAUUGGAUGGCCCCAUAAUUGGAUCCAAUUCGUCCUUCGCUUCAAGAUCACCCAAAUUUUGAAUUGGUCCUUUUUCCUUUUGCUGACUUCUUAUAAGGAUAACUUGGAUUACUUCUAUCCGAUGAACUGGUGAUUCUUGUGUUCCGUUAUUUUUUUCCUCUACAAUUUAUACAGUCGAUUGUAUCUUCUGAUCAUGAUUAUUAGGAUUAAAUGGAACAAUGCAUUGAUAAUAAAAAUGACCCGAUUGCUUGUAAUUUCUACAUAGUGGAGCAUAUUUGUCUAUAAACUUUGGAUUAGGGCAUUCACUAGCAUAAUGACCAAUUUGCCGACACUAGUAGCAACGUAGUGGUUUUUACCCUAUACCGUCAUGUACACUUGGAGUCUCCAUUGGAAUAUAUCUAUUAGGCCAAUUCCAGGUAGCUAUAGUAAAUGAUCUUGGUUGACCAAUUACUACUAGUCGAGAAUUGGACUGCUGAAUUGGUAUAGUUUGAGAAUUACCUUCUUGAUUAUUUCCACCGUUCUACAUCUUUGUUUCAUAAACCAAAUUAUAAUUAGUAUUUUAAAAAUUUCCAAAGCCAUGAUUAGGUCAAUUUGAGUGAUUACUAUUCCAACCACUCAUAUUUUCAGUCUGUACUUGAUUAACAUUCCAUUGAGUUGUCUGUAUUAUUUGGUUAUUGAACUAUUGUUGCCUUUGUAAAUGCUAGCAGUUUUGAGUAAGGUGCUUUCCUCCACAAAAUGUAUAUUGAACACCCGUUUAUCUGGGUGAUGGACAUUCCAUAUCGAAAUGACCUUGUUCCUUACAAUUAUUACACCAUACAUUAGGUCUCGUAUUAGAAGGCUUAUGUCGUUUCUCCUUGUCUUUAGCCAAAUUCACGACCAAUUCUUCCAUCUUCUUUGUUAAAUUUAAUAACAAGGCUUCAUUUGGAUCUUUAACAGUCGCAUUUGUGAGCAACUCUGGUUGUUGAUAGGUUGGCAAUGUAAAAUAAGAUAUCAUUGUUAUUGGCGCUAUUACUUGGAGUGGUGUAGCAUUAAUUGAUUUUUGUAACAUAACAUUCUUCAUGUUGGAGUCAACCAUUUGUGGAUAAUUAUCCAUCAACACAUUUUCCGAUUAUAUUUGUUGGCUUCCUGAACUUGGAAUCAUUGUGGGCUCCACUCUUAACAAUUGGUCAUAAUGACAUUCUUUCCACACCUUUGCUCGUGCCAACGAUGCCUCUACCGUAGCAGGUUGAGCCUCUUUUACAAACAUUUUCAAUUCUGGUGGAUACAAACCAUUGAUUAAUAUGGACAAUAUAAACGCCUUUGGCAUUUGAUUAUUUGACCAUUUACGAAGUAUAUCUGCGAUCCAACCAUAAUAGGACUCUAUUGAUUCUCCCGCAAACAUCUUGCUAUUCAUAAAACUUUCUCGAAGUCGAUCUUCAAAUCCAAUUGGUCUAAAAUGUAUUAAAGAGGCAUUCUUCAAGGCGUCCCAAUUGGAAAAUCUAUCCACUGGUUGUCAAUUAUACCAUUCAAAAGUUGUAUCUUUUAAAGUUGCUAGCAACCAUCUCAACCAAAUAUCUUCAGUUCUACCAUUAUUAGCUACACAGGCUGUCAAAAAUUGAGAUACAUGGUAUUCGAGAUCAAAGCCCGACCAACCACUAAAAGUAGGUAAUGGUGCCACACUUGUAGUUCGGUCUCCUACUGCUCCCAUUUAUACUGCAAUUGGUACUUUUGGCACUCUCGCAGCCAUUGGUGUUAUCACUGGUCUCCUUGCUAUUUAAAUUUGAAUUUUUCUUCCUUUGGUUUUACUUGGACCUACAAUUCUUUUUUUUCGUUCCCGUAGGAGAUUUCUUAUGCGUAAUCACUCUUGUCUUUCUUUUGCUUGUCGAUUAAUUCUUUGAUAAUCCUCUCCUUCAUGAUUAUCAUUCAUAAUCUUCUAUCUUCUUUACAAAAUCAAUAUUACCUUGAAUUAUAAUUGACAUAUUUGUAACCCUAAAAUUAGUUCUUCUCACGUUUUCAUUCAACAUAUAAUUCCAUCUCCCAUACAAUCAAUUUCUAACAUUUCAUAUUGUUAUCAUUUUCCUGGCAGCGGUGCCAAAAUGUUGUUCUCGAUGUGUUCAAGCUUCAAUAUACCAAAGCAAUUGAACUAAUAGAGGUGGAUUCAAAUACAGGGAAAGACUGGUUAUAUGAAUUGGGUCUGUUAGUGUCACAAUUGACUAUACUCGAGCUAUCCGAAAUCAAUUAUCAAACUACAAAAUACCAAGGCUUCCUACUUUCGUCUUCAUUCAACCCAUAAUUUAUUCUACGACUAUCAAUUCAAUAAUACGUCCAUAUUCUUAUCCGUUCAUCUCCUAAUUACUCUCUUUGUGGUUUAUAUAUAUUCAAUUACUGAUCUCCAGCUUACCUAUUGUAUUCAGUUUCUCAAUUCAUUACACAGAAUUCAAUAUCUCGGCUUACGACUCUCACAGUCUGACCUUGAUCUCCCUUUUGUCAACUUCUUUAUC
This 5398-nucleotide long non-coding RNA is filed under the name Physcomitrium patens. RNAcentral's name for it is "long non-coding RNA (PPAT_LNC007768)". Lineage: Eukaryota; Viridiplantae; Streptophyta; Bryopsida; Funariales; Funariaceae. The record is from RNAcentral.